Molecule: small nucleolar RNA, 84 nt
Organism: Suricata suricatta (meerkat)
Lineage: Eukaryota; Metazoa; Chordata; Mammalia; Carnivora; Herpestidae
Source: Ensembl
CUUAAGAAGAAGAUACUCUCCUUAUUUUCCAAGCACAUAUCUGAUGAUUCCAUGUGGAAUUCAACUACUCUGAGUUUUCUGGGA